RNAcentral lists this transfer RNA (75 nucleotides) under Hippocampus hippocampus (short-snouted seahorse). RNAcentral's name for it is "tRNA-Leu". It matches the Rfam family "tRNA". Rfam says of the family: Transfer RNA (tRNA) molecules are approximately 80 nucleotides in length. Their secondary structure includes four short double-helical elements and three loops (D, anti-codon, and T loops). The record is from RNAcentral. Lineage: Eukaryota; Metazoa; Chordata; Actinopteri; Syngnathiformes; Syngnathidae.
AACUUCUGAAGGAUAUUAGUUAAUCCAUUGGUCUUAGGAACCAAAAACCCUUGGUGCAAAUCCAAGCAGUAGUUA